UGGGGAAUUUUGGACAAUGGGCGAAAGCCUGAUCCAGCAAUGCCGCGUGUGUGAAGAAGGCCUUUGGGUUGUAAAGCACUUUUGUCCGGAAAGAAAUCCUUGGCUCUAAUACAGUCGGGGGAUGACGGUACCGGAAGAAUAAGCACCGGCUAACUACGUGCCAGCAGCCGCGGUAAUACGUAGGGUGCAAGCGUUAAUCGGAAUUACUGGGCGUAAAGCGUGCGCAGGCGGUUUGCUAAGACCGAUGUGAAAUCCCCGGGCUCAACCUGGGAACUGCAUUGGUGACUGGCAGGCUAGAGUAUGGCAGAGGGGGGUAGAAUUCCACGUGUAGCAGUGAAAUGCGUAGAGAUGUGGAGGAAUACCGAUGGCGAAGGCAGCCCCCUGGGCCAAUACUGACGCUCAUGCACGAAAGCGUGGGGAGCAAACAGGAUUAGAUACCCUGGUAGUCCACGCCCCUAAACGAUGUCAACUAGUUGUUGGGGAUUCAUUUCCUUAGUAACGUAGCUAACGCGUGAAGUUGACCGCCUGGGGAGUACGGUCGCAAGAUUAAAACUCAAAUGAAUUG
RNAcentral lists this ribosomal RNA (565 nucleotides) under uncultured bacterium. RNAcentral describes it as "partial 16S ribosomal RNA". It matches the Rfam family "Bacterial small subunit ribosomal RNA", at positions 355 to 912 of the family's 1533-position model. The record is from RNAcentral.